CAAGGCCUCUACUGUGUGCCAGGAAGAAGGGAAACGAGGAUCUACAUAACUAGUUAAUAACUGAGAUUCUGGAACAAGACUGCCUGGAUUUGAAGCUUGGCUCUAGCUACAUGUGACUUCAGGUUCCCAUCGUUCUGGAGGACACAAAGAAGGAUGCAUCUCAUUCAGGUAGCAAAAUAAAGAAAGAAAAAUAAAGAAGUAAAAUAAAAGCAAGCCCAAACCAAGAAGAAACCCAUUGCGCCAGUCAAGAAGAGGAUUCAAUUUGAGAGAUUACUGUAAAAUUACCACCAAACAAAAAAACUGAAGAGAAUUUUGAUAAUUGUUGAGCUGG
This 331-nucleotide long non-coding RNA is filed under the name Equus caballus (horse). RNAcentral's name for it is "lncRNA (ENSECAG00000059007.1)". Lineage: Eukaryota; Metazoa; Chordata; Mammalia; Perissodactyla; Equidae. The record is from RNAcentral.